UAGUAAUGGCAGGUCAGCAUACUGCCGUGAAUACGUUCCCGGGCCUUGUACACACCGCCCGUCACACCAUGAGAGUUGGGGAUACCCAAAGCCCGUGAGCCAACUUUUAGAGGCAGCGGUCUAAGGUAGAAUCAAUGAUUGGGGUGAAGUCGUAACAAGGUAGC
RNAcentral lists this ribosomal RNA (164 nucleotides) under uncultured bacterium. RNAcentral's name for it is "partial 16S ribosomal RNA". It matches the Rfam family "Bacterial small subunit ribosomal RNA", at positions 1336 to 1500 of the family's 1533-position model. The record is from RNAcentral.